This 412-nucleotide ribosomal RNA is filed under the name Neometrypus sp. FGu. RNAcentral's name for it is "partial 12S ribosomal RNA". The record is from RNAcentral. Lineage: Eukaryota; Metazoa; Arthropoda; Insecta; Orthoptera; Gryllidae.
UAUUAUUGAUUUAGUAAGAUUGGAGUGCUUGAGUAGUAAAAUAUAAUUUUUGAAACUUAAAGAAUAUGGCGGUAUUUUAGUCCGUUUAGAGGAAUCUGUCUUUUUAUUGAUAAUACACGAUUAGUAAUACUUACUUUUGUGAUCAGUUUGUAUACCGCCGUCAUAAGAAUAUUUUGAAGAGGAGGAGAAGGGAAAAUUUCUUAAUUUAAAAAGUUGGAAUAUGUCAGGUCAAGGUGCAGUUAAUGAGUAAGAUUAUGAUGGAUUACAAUAAAUUUAUUUAUAUGGAUUGUUUUUUAAAAAUUGAAUGAAUGAAAGUGGAUUUGAUUGUAAAUUAAUUGUAAUUGAUUUUUUGAUUAUUGGCUCUAGAAUAUGUACAUAUCGCCCGUCGCUCUCGUAUAAGAUGUAAAAUGAG